RNAcentral lists this ribosomal RNA (493 nucleotides) under uncultured soil bacterium. RNAcentral's name for it is "bacterial SSU rRNA". It matches the Rfam family "Bacterial small subunit ribosomal RNA", at positions 26 to 507 of the family's 1533-position model. The record is from RNAcentral.
AGAUUGAACGCUGGCGGCAUGCCUUACACAUGCAAGUCGAACGGCAGCACGGGAGCAAUCCUGGUGGCGAGUGGCGAACGGGUGAGUAAUAUAUCGGAACGUGCCCAGUCGUGGGGGAUAACGCAGCGAAAGCUGUGCUAAUACCGCAUACGAUCUCUGGAUGAAAGCGGGGGACUCGCAAGGGCCUCGCGCGAUUGGAGCGGCCGAUAUCAGAUUAGCUAGUUGGUGGGGUAAAAGCCCACCAAGGCGACGAUCUGUAGCUGGUCUGAGAGGACGACCAGCCACACUGGAACUGAGACACGGUCCAGACUCCUACGGGAGGCAGCAGUGGGAAUUUUGGACAAUGGGCGAAAGCCUGAUCCAGCAAUGCCGCGUGCAGGAUGAAGGCCUUGGUGUAAACUGUCUUUAGUACGGUAACGAAACGGUCUCUUUACUAAACGUAAGGGACUAAGUAGAACGGUACCGUAAAGAAUAAGCACGGACUAACUACGUA